Molecule: ribosomal RNA, 330 nt
Filed under: uncultured bacterium
Lineage: Bacteria
Description: bacterial SSU rRNA
Rfam family: Bacterial small subunit ribosomal RNA
Source: RNAcentral
CGCGCAGGCUGUCCUCCAAGUCAGUGGUGAAAGCCCGGAGCUCAACUCCGGAAUUGCCAUUGAAACUGUUGGACUGGAGUACGAGAGAGGUGAGUGGAAUUCCCAGUGUAGAGGUGAAAUUCGUAGAUAUUGGGAAGAACACCGGUGGCGAAGGCGGCUCACUGGCUCGUAACUGACGCUCAGGCGCGAUAGCGUGGGGAUCAAACAGGAUUAGAUACCCUGGUAGUCCACGCCGUAAACGAUGAAUGCUAGCCGUUGGAUAGCUUGCUAUUCAGUGGCGCAGCUAACGCAUUAAGCAUUCCGCCUGGGGAGUACGGCCGCAAGGUUGAA